UACUACCCCAGAAUCUGGAAUAACCGGCCGAAAGGCUGGCUAAUACUGGAUAGAGCGACGGAAUCCGUAAUUGGGUUUUUCGGGAAAGGGAGGCAGCAAUGCCCCUCGUUUUGGGAUGAGCCUGCGUCUCAUUAGCUAGUUGGUGGGGUAACGGCCCACCAAGGCAUUGAUGAGUAGCUGGUCUGAGAGGAUGAUCAGCCACACUGGAACUGAAACACGGUCCAG
RNAcentral lists this ribosomal RNA (225 nucleotides) under uncultured bacterium. Its description in RNAcentral is "partial 16S ribosomal RNA". It matches the Rfam family "Bacterial small subunit ribosomal RNA", at positions 124 to 334 of the family's 1533-position model. The record is from RNAcentral.